UACGUAGGUGGCAAGCGUUGUCCGGAUUUAUUGGGCGUAAAGCGAGCGCAGGCGGUUCUUUAAGUCUGAUGUGAAAGCCCCCGGCUCAACCGGGGAGGGCCAUUGGAAACUGGCGAUCUAGAGUCCGGAAGAGGUGAGUGGAACUCCUAGUGUAGAGGUGGAAUUCGUAGAUAUAGGAAGGAACACCAGUGGCGAAGGCGGCUACCUGGACCAACACUGACACUGAGGUGCGAAAGCGUGGGGAGCAAACAGG
This 253-nucleotide unclassified non-coding RNA is filed under the name uncultured Enterococcaceae bacterium. RNAcentral describes it as "contains 16S-23S intergenic spacer region". It matches the Rfam family "Bacterial small subunit ribosomal RNA", at positions 524 to 776 of the family's 1533-position model. Lineage: Bacteria; Bacillati; Bacillota; Bacilli; Lactobacillales; Enterococcaceae. The record is from RNAcentral.